UAUGGAAGAUCAGUGGUAGAACCUGUAAUAGAACUCAAAUCUUCUGACUCACUGUUCUGUUCAUCAGACUUGUUAAGCAAUAAAGAUCAAGUUUACAUAAGUAGUUUGGCAAAAGCAAGAUGGACCAGAGCUAUUCAGAAGAAGUAAAAGACCCCAUUUAUUCAUCUCCUGUGUAUGCUUGAGUGAGUUCUUCAGAUGUGUGAAACUGUGACUCAGAGAUGCUUGGUAUUUGCAGAAGGUAAUAAUCAGGCUUCUGUUUAAAAAACAAUAAAUUAGAAGAAGAAAAACCUUCCUCUGAUGCUAUUGAGGGUCUUCCUCUGAUUGUUCCCCGUAUGGCUCAGUGCUCUGUACCUGACUGUGGAAGCUUUCCAUUAUAAAGACUUUUAAAGUAUUAUAGCAGACAUUACAAUGUAUUGAGUUAUCUGAACACCUCCUGUAUUAAGCACAUGAUUAGUUUAGAAAAAGUAAUGUGAUCACUUCUGACAAAUCAUUGUUAAUAUUUCAGAUUGUGUAACUUCAUUUUUGUUUGACGU
Long non-coding RNA from Mauremys reevesii (Reeves's turtle), 533 nucleotides. RefSeq lists it as uncharacterized. The record is from RefSeq and is a predicted model, not a curated record. Lineage: Eukaryota; Metazoa; Chordata; Testudines; Geoemydidae. The transcript has 4 exons.